GACGAACGCUGGCGGCGUGCCUAAUACAUGCAAGUAGGACGCUGAAGGAGGAGCUUGCUUCUCUGGAUGAGUUGCGAACGGGUGAGUAACGCGUAGGUAACCUGCCUGGUAGCGGGGGAUAACUAUUGGAAACGAUAGCUAAUACCGCAUAAUAGUAGAUGUUGCAUGACAUUUGCUUAAAAGGUGCAAUUGCAUCACUACCAGAUGGACCUGCGUUGUAUUAGCUAGUUGGUGGGGUAACGGCUCACCAAGGCGACGAUACAUAGCCGACCGGAGAGGGGGAUCGGCCAGACUGGGAGUGAGACAGGGCCCAGAGUCCUUGGGGAGGGAGCCAGAGGGAAACUGGGGCAAGGGGCGGAAGUCUGACCGAGCAACGCCGCAUGAGGGAGGAAGGUUUUCGGAUCGUAAAGCUCUGUUGUAGGGGAAGAACGAGUGUGAGAGUGGAAAGUUCACACUGUGACGGUAUCUUACCAGAAAGGGACGGCUAACUACGUG
Molecule: ribosomal RNA, 495 nt
Filed under: uncultured bacterium
Lineage: Bacteria
Description: partial 16S ribosomal RNA
Rfam family: Bacterial small subunit ribosomal RNA
Source: RNAcentral